Ruditapes philippinarum (Manila clam) is the source of this 809-nucleotide long non-coding RNA. RefSeq lists it as uncharacterized. Lineage: Eukaryota; Metazoa; Mollusca; Bivalvia; Venerida; Veneridae. The transcript has 2 exons. The record is from RefSeq and is a predicted model, not a curated record.
ACUGGCCCCGCUCCGGGUGCCUUUAUACAGGUGAGCGACCUCAGGGCCAUCAUGGCCCUCUUGUUUUAAUUUUCGGCCUUCUUGGGUUAAAAGGUUUUAUGAUAAACUGUACAUAAUAUUAUCCUUUAACCUGCUUGGAACCGGAAGUGAUAAAACUUCACCACCAGUAUAAAGUGAGGUCAGACUUUCAGUGCCUGAACGGGCGGAUGGACCCUUGUUUAAUUUAGAACAAACAUGGCCGGGUCAAAAGUGUGACCAGGUUCUAUACUGAAGACUGGGUUGAAGUUUAAACUUUCAUCUUUAUAUCCCCACUUUUUUUUCCUCACUCCUAGCAUUUUACUCUUAGUUUUCCUUCAAAAAAUAAAAUGACGGCCACAAGCAAACAGGUUUAUUGGGGUCUUAACUAUUUAUGUUCUCAUAGCACAGGCUCUUAUUAUUUUUAUCCGGCUUUUAUUAUAUUAACCAGGGUAACUAGUAAAGGAAUAUGUUUCUUUUUUAUUAAAUUGUGUUUGUUAAAUAAUGGACUAUUUUAAUGGAACUGUAUGUUAAAUAAUGGAAUGUGUUAAUGGAAAUACUUGUAAAUAUAAUGGAAUGUGUUAAUGGAAUAGUAUGCCAAUUAAUGGUAUGUGUUAAUGGAAAUACUUGUAAAAAAAAUAAUGGAAUGUGUUAAUGGAAAUACUUGUAAAAAUAAUGGAAUGUGUUAAUUGAAAUACCUGUAAUCCAAUUAAUGGAAUGUGUUAAUGGAAAUACUUGUAAAAAUAAUGGAAUGGUAUGCCAAGUAAUGGAAUGUGUUAAUGGAAAUACUUGUA